AUUCCAUGAUGAGUACAUUUUUGCAACAAGUCCUUGAAUCGCUCCCAUGCAUCAUAGAGAGAUUCAUAGUCAAGUUGUUGAAAUGUGAGAUUUUAUUUUUAAGCUU
Non-coding RNA from Gossypium arboreum, 106 nucleotides. The record is from Rfam. NCBI's taxonomy places the organism in Eukaryota, Viridiplantae, Streptophyta, Magnoliopsida, Malvales, Malvaceae.